Molecule: long non-coding RNA, 2999 nt
Filed under: Nicotiana tabacum (common tobacco)
Lineage: Eukaryota; Viridiplantae; Streptophyta; Magnoliopsida; Solanales; Solanaceae
Description: long non-coding RNA (NTAB_LNC011687)
Source: RNAcentral
UCCUGUACGUAGACCCACACCUAUAUGAGAAAAUUAAGACCAAAUAAAUUUUAAGACCUAGAACAUAAUGUGAGACAAUAACACUUCCUGUUGGACACAUGCAAGACAUGAUUGUGACUAUUUUUCAAAAAUUAACCGGUGUGGCUAAAAGUGGCUAAAAAUGCAAGAUUUGGCUAAGACCCCGCGAAGCCAAGAACCUAAACUCACUAGGAAGACCGGACCCAAUGUGUGUUGCCUACGUAUCACGCCCCGAAAGACGAGAAUCAGGUAUGCGUAGUUCGGGCAGAUUGGAUACGGGUGAGAAUUAAAAAAAUAACUAAUUUAGAGAAAAUAUGUUUUUUGUCUUCUUUUUUUUUUGAAAAAAUGCUGAAACAUGUAAACUUUUUUUCCGAUUUUCUUUUCCUUUUUUUUUGAUUUUCGAAAAAUGAUGAAAAAGCAAUUUUUUUUGAAUUUUCAUGUUUUUUUCCUUUUUCUUAACAAAAAUGUGAAAUAAAACAUAACUGGGCCCUACUUGCUUUUUUCUCACACUUCACCCUUUUUUUUUCCUUCUUUUUUUGUUCAUUUGCCCUCAACUAUCAUUUGUCCACCAAAUGACCCUUUUACCCUUGGAGAUAUGCAACAUGUAGCACAUAAGAUACAUCAAGAUGGUCUGUUAUUUUGGGUACAUCUGUCCUAGACGAACCCGACCCCUGUGUUGAGUCCCCUAAGUCAAAUGCACAUGAUACUAACAAACGUUCCUACUAGGGAUUCGGCAUGAGGCUGUGUUUUUCUAGGUUUUAAAACCUGGGGUUGUGUUCUAGACCUGGCUUACCCGAACGGACAACUGGGGGCCGAAGAGGGGGAACGUAUCGGAAGCACUAAAGUCUACCCGACCUUGUUGCUGGCCCAGCCUUGUUCUAUUUGGUAUAAUUUUUACAGAAAAAGCGGGCCACACGAACGUGUGCACCAUUUUCAGAAGACUCGGAGGAUGGCGUAAGAAGACAGUUAUAUAGAGUUCAAACAAUAUUAAAGCGGUAAACAUAUAGAAUUUAGCACCAAAGGUUCAUAGAAUACAGUAAUAUUAACAAUAGAUAAAGCCAAAUAAAAAUCAUAAAAACAAACUAGAAUUCUUGAACCCUGAACCAGAGAUUCCGAGUUCUUGUUCCUCAGUAGAGUCGCCAGAGUUGUCACACCUCCUUUUUACUAUCCCAUGAAGGGAUAUAAGGGAGUUUUUUUCCAAUUUAAGUGACAAUCGAAACAGGAUUAUUUAUUUGAAAUUCAGAGUCGCUACUUGGGAUAAUUUAUGGUGGCCCAAGUCACCGGUUUACGUGUACCCGUUUGUUUAACAUGUCAAAAAUUACGUCACGCGAACGUGUCCGCAAUUAAUAACGCUUUAUUAUUAUUAAGAAAGUUUGGCAGAAGUUGCGCGAACGCAUACUCCGGUUUUGUUUUUAGAAAUCGUAAUCAUGUUACGCGAACGUAUCCACGACCACGAUAGAAUAUUAAACAUGCCUAAAGUAACCUACGACCAUUUUUAUAUCUAGGUUAUUAGCAUGAGGGCCAUGUAUGAUUAAAUUAUGGAUGGCUCAACACUAGUUGGAGCUUCUUUGCAUCAAGUCUUCAUAAUUAGAUAUGCUUCAUCUAUUCUACCCACUUUACCAAAUCCGUCUACUAGACUACCAUAUAUAGCCACAUUUAAUGGAAUACCUUUAGAUUUUGCUUCUUCAAAAAGCAUGUAAACUUCGUCAAGUCUGUCAGUCUUGGCAAGCCCAUCAAUGACAGAACCAUAUGUUACUACGGUCGGGGUCAAGACCUUUUACUUUCAUCUCUUCAAGUGGCUGAUAAGCUUUAUUCACUUUACCUGAUUUGCAAAAUCCAUCUAUGACAGUAUUAUAAGCAAAAGUAUCCAGCACGUACCCCUGUUCCUUCAUUGCAUAGAAAAGCUCAUAUGUGCACACAUGCAUUAAAGUGGGGCAAAAAAUAUUCAAUCUAUAGACAGGAAAAGCAAAACAUUCACAAUUGGGUAAUAACGGUGGUUCAGUUAUUAACUUAGUAACAAGACCAAAUCAAAAAAUGGGAGAAAACAAAAAUGCUAAUUUGAUAUCCACAUUUAUUCAUCUCCAAGCUCGAUAUUAACAUAGACAACACAAAUAUUACAAAGUAACAAACACAAACAAAUUACACAAGAAACGAUAAAUAACAUUAACAUGUGAAUUUCCAAAAUGGCAGAAUCUCAGGCCCAAACCAGUACACGAUGAACUGUAAAACGAAGGUCCAAAUUUAACCAAAAAACAGACCUUAGUUAAGCUUGACUUGCCGAAAUUGCGAACCGGCACCUCGAAUCGACAUCGGAACUAGAAAACUUGAACAGAAAAACGAAAUGCUUCGCCGGAAUCCCAGCGAAACUCGACCAAACCUCUUCGAAUCGAUUUCUUUGACUUUGGACUGGAAUGCUCGACUUCAAAACAAAAUCGAGCACCUCGCCUCCAUGAGUACCGAUAUGAGAAUGAAUUGAAGCUUUGCGUAACAAGUAGUUCUGAAGCUUAGAGAAUCGAAUGGUAACUGAAUGGUUAUGGGGUUAAUUAUCGGUAGAUUUCAUGGCUAUUUUUGCUGGAGAUUUUAGCUAUGUUUGGGGCUGUUUUUUUAGCUUGUUCUUCGAGUUGUUUGAGAAUGAUUUCGAGUUGAAGUUUCGCUCGUGUUUCUGCCAGAUUUCGGACUAUUUUUUGAGGCUGCUUCGAGGUGGUUUAAAGGCUGGUUUAUGGGGAGUUUUUAGCUCAUUUUGGAGCUUUAUUCGGCUACUUCAAUGGAGUUUAGGGGGGUGUUGAAUGGAGGUUCAUGGCUGGAACUGGAGGAGGUCAUCUGGUGUGGUUGGUGUCGAAGAAGACGAAGCUUCAGGGGGGUCAUCUCUUUUGUGUAUUGCGGCUGUCAGCUUUUAGUCUAGGUAUCUCUUAUUUUUUGUGUAUUUCCGCUCCUUUUUUAUCAGAUUUUUAGGCAUUAGUCUAGGUUUUGGGGUAAUGGGG